AGCUUUGCGCAGUGGCAGUAUCGUGGCCAAUGAGGUUUAUCCGAGGCGCGAUUAUUGCUAAUUAAAAAGCAAAUGCCA
Mustela putorius furo (domestic ferret) is the source of this 78-nucleotide non-coding RNA. NCBI's taxonomy places the organism in Eukaryota, Metazoa, Chordata, Mammalia, Carnivora, Mustelidae. The record is from Rfam.